Molecule: RNase P RNA, 260 nt
Filed under: Oscillospiraceae bacterium
Lineage: Bacteria; Bacillati; Bacillota; Clostridia; Eubacteriales; Oscillospiraceae
Description: partial RNase P RNA component class A
Rfam family: Bacterial RNase P class A
About the family: Ribonuclease P (RNase P) is a ubiquitous endoribonuclease, found in archaea, bacteria and eukarya as well as chloroplasts and mitochondria. Its best characterised activity is the generation of mature 5'-ends of tRNAs by cleaving the 5'-leader elements of precursor-tRNAs. Cellular RNase Ps are ribonucleoproteins.
Source: RNAcentral
CAAGUAAGCUGGACAGCCACGGGGCGAAGUCGAAAGGCCCGCCCUGAGGAAAGUCCGGGCUCCACAGGGUAAGAAUAACGGGUAACACCCGCCGGGGGCGACCCUAGGAAAAGUGCAACAGAGAGAUACCGCCCUGCCGUCGCUUGUGCCGACAGGGUAAGGGUGGAAAGGCGGAGGUAAGAGCCCGCCCGAUGGCUGGGAACAGUCCAUCGCUGUAAACUCUAUUCGGAGCAACACCGUGGGAGUACACAAGGCUGACC